CACAAUUUUAAUAGGUCGGUUAUCAUAACGACUUGUUUUCACCUUACUGUAUAUAAAACAGAUAGAAAGCAAGUAAACCCAAUAACCUGGUGAAUAAUCAUGGAGUGGUUUUCUCUUAGUCAUUUGAGUUUUUCCAUUGCGUAAAGCAUAAAAAACUAGGAAAUGACAGAGACGUCAGAUUUCGUCAAAUUGUUGUGUUAGUCCGGCUUUUUUUU
RNAcentral lists this non-coding RNA (215 nucleotides) under Pleistodontes nigriventris. Lineage: Eukaryota; Metazoa; Arthropoda; Insecta; Hymenoptera; Agaonidae. The record is from RNAcentral.